Sphaeramia orbicularis (orbiculate cardinalfish) is the source of this 1546-nucleotide RNA transcript. It is a transcript of the gene named transcription factor 15, with no coding region annotated. The transcript is spliced from 2 exons. NCBI's taxonomy places the organism in Eukaryota, Metazoa, Chordata, Actinopteri, Kurtiformes, Apogonidae. The record is from RefSeq and is a predicted model, not a curated record.
UAUGUGUGAGUGUUCAGCCCAGAAACAUUUAUUUCAGUAAGAGUUUCCUUUGAAUACAGGUAUAGAAGGUUUUUGUACUGGGUUAUACAGAAACUUGAACUAUGAAGUUAAGAUGUUUUCUAAAUAGGGUAAAUGCCAAAUAAAGUGGCUGUUAAUAUUUUCAUUUUCAAUCUUUUUCUAAGAUAAAGGUUCAUGGGGUUACAGUAUAUUUUUAACAUGAUUUUCUGAUAUGUUGUGCACUGACAGCCUUCUCCAGCCUGUUGCAGAUCAUUGUGCUGUGCAGCUGCAGCUCCUCCCAUGCAGCUAUAAGAGCCCAGCUGACCAGGUAGUCAGGGUCCAUCCUUAAAAUAGGUCACAGCAAAUCCACUACAGAAAAGUCUGGCAGCUUUAUCAAAAGAGUUUAUUUUCAUCAGUGGUUAAAUGCAGCCUUCGUGCCACAGAUGGAGGGUUAGUCCCUGAGUUGUUUUCGGGCUGAUUUUUCUUCAGAGGACUUGGAGCUGGAAGUGGUGGUGGUGUAACUCUUGAAGAUGACUUUUGCCAUGCUGCGGCCUGUGGCGACGCACUUAAUCUACUCAGACUUCGGAGUCACUUCAGAGGACGAUGAAAAGUGCAGCGAAAGCGACGGCAGCUCGGAGCGAAGUUACUGCGAAAGCUCCGAGAAGCGAAGAAGGAUUUCACGAAAACUGGAAAAAGACACGACAAUGGUAAAGCAGAGGAGCGCAGCGAACGCCAGGGAGAGAGGCAGGACCCAAAGUGUCAACACUGCGUUCACGGCUCUCCGGACACUGAUACCCACGGAGCCAGUGGACAGAAAACUCUCCAAGAUUGAAACUCUGCGCCUGGCGUCCAGCUACAUUUCCCAUCUGGCCAACGUGCUUCUCCUGGGAGACGGCGGCGCUGAUGGACAGCCCUGCCUUGGUGCGGUCCAUGCGCAAGAGGAGAGCGGGACCAAGCAGCCUCGAACCAUCUGCACCUUCUGUUUGAGCAACCAAAGAAAAGGGGUAAAUGCUAUUUUAUAGCCUGAUGGCAAAGUAUACUUCAGCAGAGUGUAAACACAAGAGCAGAUUAACAGUAAACAACAUAUUCCUGAUCCCAGAUACACUUAUUAUUUUUAUGACCUUGCUUUUUGCUUUUUUCUUUUCUUUUUUUGUCCAGUGCAGAUUAUAUUUACUUUGUUAAUCAUUCCUAUUCUUAAGUCCAACUAUUUUUUUGUCCUUGGACUUCUGGAUGUAAAAUUUGGUUUUACGCACUAAUUUUACGCACGAGUUUUGAUCCCUGCAAGUCCCUCUCACAGGCAGAUACAGGUGGUUACAGUUUUACACAACUGUAAAGACAUGCUCUACUCAAAAUAUACAAAAUAAAGGAUGGGAAAGACUGUUUUAAAAUGCGAGGACUGGGUCCACUGCGAAUGAGACGCUGACUUACAACCAGUGAAUGAUGAGCAACCUGUAAAUCCUCAGACUGUCUCAGGGAAGAGUGGAAGCUGGUGUUACAGAGUACACACAGGCACAUUUUCACAUGCUGGAUACAAUGGUGGAACCAAAAA